Molecule: long non-coding RNA, 1614 nt
Filed under: Homo sapiens (human)
Lineage: Eukaryota; Metazoa; Chordata; Mammalia; Primates; Hominidae
Description: HSALNT0393715
Source: RNAcentral
ACACAUCUAACCACUCUUCAGCUGAUAUCCACUUGCUGACAAAUGAAUCUCUCUGGCCCCUGGACUGUGCCCUGAAACACAGCUUAAAACAGCAGAAUGAACAGUAAUCCCAGAGAUCCUGAGAUGAGAAAAGGGUGUUUGACUUAUUCAAAGAAGACCAAGGAAGCCCAAAGACCAGAGAAGAGUGCAGGAAAGGGGCGGCGGUCUGAGAUGCAGUCAGAGCAGUGGCAAGCCCCCAGAGUCUGUGGCAAAGACUUCAGGUUUCAUCCUGAAGAGGAAGACAGGUCUUUGGAGAGUUUUGAUCAAGGAAGUGAGAUGAAAUAUCUUAGGCUUACAAAGAACUACUCUGACAUCUAAAUGGAAAAUGGACUGAUGAAGCAAAAGAAGCCACAAGGAAGCCAGUUCAGAGGCUAUUGAAAUGCUCCAGAGGAACAGCGGUUUAUUGAAAGGAAAGCAAAUGUCCAGAAGCAAAAACAAACAAACAAAAAACAAACAAACAAACAAAAACAGAAAAAACUUCCCCAAAAGUAAAGAAUCACAGCUUUAUUCAGUAGCUCCUCAAUUAAAAUAGUCAUCUUCUUAAUUGUGCCAUCUUCAGAAGCAGCCAUAUAUACUGUAGUUAAGAGGCACAUGGUGAGAAAUUUGGGGUCCAAUCAAGAUGAUAGGAUUCAUCUACAUGGCAGCCCUCAAAGAUUCUGGAAGAGAAAAAUGGUGAAAAGAUACUCAGAGAGUGAGAGCCUUCAGAUUUGGGUGAGUGAUGCCAUUAGAACCAAGAUUUCUUCCAUUCUUCUGCUCUAUCAUUCUCAGCACAACAUGCUUUUCUCAUUAAGGCCGCUGUGGUUCGUCUUCUGCCUGGGAACUGGAUAAAAACAUCAGUGAAUACCCCAAAGAUUUUCAAAAAUGCUUGUUGAUAAAAUGAAGUCAGAAUGUGAGAUGAGCCCUUCCACCUGAGUGAUGUUGGUCUUGGCUGUGUGAUUUGCUUUGGCUGAUGAUAAGUUGAUGGAAGUGAUAGUAAGACAAUGCUGAGCCUCAUCCUCGGAAGUAUCUCUGCCUUCACCUGGCUUUGUGCACCACUGCCCUGGCUUUGAGAAGAACAUGAGCCCAGUAAAUUGUUAGUCCAGGAAGAAUGAGAGAGAAAGUCCUGAGGCAGAGAAGUGGAGAGAAGUUGCUGCUUGAGCUUGAGAAAGAAUGGUGGCAGAGUACAUGCAUGGAAGUGCUACCAUAGCUGCUCUGAAAUCAGAGGAAAGUGGAAUUAUAAGAAGACCCCAUCUGACAAGGCUCAUAAAGGAGAGCAACUCUUAUGGAAUACAUCCAAGAUAUAUACGUCUUUGAAGAAAGACAUCACUCAACUGUGAAAGAUCACCAUGACCCCUGCUUUAAUUUCAUCAAAAAACUUAGUCCAUCAGCUCAGUUACCCUUUAGCCUUGCAUGGGAAUUGACUCAGAGCUUCUGCAAGAUCAGGGUGAAUAUGAAUUGUUUAGCUUCAGAUGAUCAUUCCUAAAGUGAAAACUCCUGGAACUUAUUGGCAAAAAAGAGAACUCUUUGCUAUUUCUAAUAUAAAUGUGUUAUUAGAAUUGGUCUACUGUUCUAAUAAAUAACAGUAAUGGAAAUGGA